Molecule: transfer RNA, 75 nt
Filed under: Candidatus Kaiserbacteria bacterium RIFCSPHIGHO2_02_FULL_55_17
Lineage: Bacteria; Candidatus Kaiseribacteriota
Description: tRNA-Arg
Rfam family: tRNA
About the family: Transfer RNA (tRNA) molecules are approximately 80 nucleotides in length.
Source: RNAcentral
GCUCCCGUCGUUCAAUGGAUAGGACAUCUCCUUGCGGAGGAGACGAUGUCAGUUCGAUUCUGGCCGGGAGCACCA